UCAAGCUACUAAGGGUGAACGGUGGAUGCCUUGGCGCUGAGCGGCGAUGAAGGACGUAGCAGGCUGCGAUAAGCCUCGGGGAGCCGCGAGCAGGCUGUGAUCCGGAGGAUCUCCGAAUGGGGAAACCCGGCUGGGGUCAUGCCCAGUCACGCCAUGGCUGAAUCCAUAGGCUGUGGCGAGCGAACCCGGGGAAGUGAACCAUCUCAGUACCCGGAGGAAAAGAAAGCAACAGCGAUUCCGUCAGUAGCGGCGAGCGAACGCGGAACAGCCCAAACCUCGUACGUGCCAAGCUGGCAGGCGUUGCGUACGGGGGGUAGUGGGGCCCGAUGGGGUUCGGCUGCCACCGAACCGGGGAGUUACAAAGUACCCGCCUAGCAGAACGGUCUGGAACGGCCGGCCAUAGAGGGUGACAGCCCCGUAUGCGAAAGGUGCGGUACCUCCCUAAUCGGGUACCCAAGUACCACGGGACACGUGGAACCCUGUGGGAAUCUGGGAGGACCACCUCCUAAGGCUAAAUACGUCUCAGCGACCGAUAGCGAACCAGUACCGUGAGGGAAAGGUGAAAAGUACCCCUGUGAGGGGAGUGAAAGAGUACCUGAAACCGUUCACCUACAAGCAGUGGGAGGGCUAUGCCCAGCAGCAAUGCUGGGAAUGCCUGACUGCGUGCCUUUUGCAUAAUGAGCCGGCUAGUUACUCUCGGCGGCGAGGUUAAGCCUUUUGCGAAGCCGUAGGGAAACCGAGUCCGAAUAGGGCGUCGAGUCGUCGGGAGUAGACGCGAAGCGGGAUGAUCUACCCUUGGCCAGGAUGAAGCGUGGGUAACACCACGUGGAGGUCCGAACCAGUGUUGGUUGAAAACAGCUUGGAUGAGCUGAGGGUAGGGGUGAAAGGCCAAUCAAAUUCCGUGAUAGCUCGUUCUCCCCGAAAUAGCUUUAGGGCUAGCCUCGCGUGGUCCGUGGCGGUGGUAGAGCACUGGAUGGGUUAGGGACCUUAACCGGUUACCGACCCCAACCAAACUCCGAAUGCCGCCAACGUCAAGCGCGGGAGUCAGACGGCGGGGGAUAAGCUUCGUCGUCAAAAGGGAAAGAACCCAGACCGCCAGCUAAGGUCCCCAAAUGACAGCUAAGUGGGAAAGGAUGUGGGGUUGCUGGGACAGCCAGGAGGUUGGCUUAGAAGCAGCCAUCCUUUAAAGAAAGCGUAAUAGCUCACUGGUCUAGCGACCCUGUGCCGAAAAUUCAACGGGGCUUAAGCUGUCUACCGAAGCUGCGGAUCUGCGCGGCCUGCGGGUCGUGCAGGUGGUAGGGGAGCGUUCCAUGCGCGGUGAAGUCAGACCGCGAGGACUGGUGGAGCGCAUGGAAGUGACUCUGCCGGCACAAGUAGCGAUAAAGCAGACGAGAACUCUGCUCGCCGGAAGCCUAAGGUUUCCUGAGCAAGGUCAAUCCGCUCAGGGUGAGUCGGUCCCUAAGGCGAGGCCGAACGGCGUAGUCGAUGGGAAACGGGUUAAUAUUCCCGUACCACUCUGUCCUCGUUAUCACGAUGGGGUGACGCAGAAGGAUAGGCGGGACUGCGAUUGGAAGUGCAGUUGAAAGCGUGUAGGCGGGGGUGGUAGGCAAAUCCGCUGCCCCGUUAACGCCGAGGCGCGAUGACGAGUAGGCGUAAGCCGAAAGCCGCUGAUUCCACGCUGCCGAGAAAAACCUCUAAGGAGAGGGCAGGGUGACCGUACCGCAAACGGACACACGUAGGCAGGGUGAGUAACCCAAGGCGCUUGAGUGAUCCCCCGUGAAGGAACUCGGCAAAAUGGCCCCGUAACUUCGGGAGAAGGGGCGCCUCCUGCCGUGUAGAUCCUUGCGGUCGAAGCGGUGGGGGGUCGCAGUGAAAGGGCCCAGGCGACUGUUUACUAAAAACACAGCACUCUGCAAACGUCACAAGCGGACGUAUAGGGUGUGAAGCCUGCCCGGUGCCGGAAGGUUAAGGGGAGGGGUUAUC
RNAcentral lists this ribosomal RNA (1983 nucleotides) under Thermoanaerobaculum sp. RNAcentral's name for it is "partial 23S ribosomal RNA". It matches the Rfam family "Bacterial large subunit ribosomal RNA", at positions 3 to 1894 of the family's 2925-position model. Lineage: Bacteria; Pseudomonadati; Acidobacteriota; Thermoanaerobaculia; Thermoanaerobaculales; Thermoanaerobaculaceae. The record is from RNAcentral.